RNAcentral lists this ribosomal RNA (465 nucleotides) under uncultured bacterium. Its description in RNAcentral is "partial 16S ribosomal RNA". It matches the Rfam family "Bacterial small subunit ribosomal RNA", at positions 339 to 795 of the family's 1533-position model. The record is from RNAcentral.
CUACGGGUGGCAGCAGUGGGGAAUAUUGGACAAUGGGGGAAACCCUGAUCCAGCAAUGCCGCGUGUGUGAAGAAGGCCUGCGGGUUGUAAAGCACUUUCGGUUGGGAGGACUGCUUCUAGCACUAAUAUUGUUGGAAGUUGACGUUACCUUCAGAAGAAGCACCGGCUAACUCCGUGCCAGCAGCCGCGGUAAUAGGGAGGGUGCAAGCGUUAAUCGGAAUUACUGGGCGUAAAGCGCGCGUAGGCGGCUAGAUCAGUCGGGUGUGAAAGCCCCGGGCUUAACCUGGGAACUGCUUCCGAUACUGUCUAGCUUGAGUACAGGAGAGGAGAGUGGAAUUCCACAUGUAGCGGUGAAAUGCGUAGAUAUGUGGAGGAACACCAAUGGCGAAGGCAGCUCUCUGGCCUGAUACUGACGCUGAGGUGCGAAAGCGUGGGGAGCAAACAGGAUUAGAUACCCUCGUAGUC